RNAcentral lists this long non-coding RNA (1113 nucleotides) under Taeniopygia guttata (zebra finch). RNAcentral describes it as "lncRNA (ENSTGUG00000028696.1)". Lineage: Eukaryota; Metazoa; Chordata; Aves; Passeriformes; Estrildidae. The record is from RNAcentral.
UUCAAGCUGCUUUGGGAUUAUUUCCUGCACCGAAGUUGUUGUUUUGUUGGGUUUUUUCUCUCCCCAACUCGCUUUUCUGGUUUGGAGCCCUGGGGGAGCAAUGGGAGGGCGCUGCUGGAGGUGAUUUUGGGAGGUUCUGAGCACAGGAGGCUGCGAGGGGGGCUGGAGCUCCUGGGUUUGUCCUGCACUCAGCAAAAUUUCCUUAUUCCUUUGCUUUUCCUUUCCUUAUUCCUUUCCCCUUCCCUUUUCUUUUCCUUAUUCCUUUCUUCUUUCCUUAUUCCUUUUCUUUUUCCUUUCCUUAUUUCUUUCUCCUUCCCCUUUCCUUAUUCCUUUCUCCUUUCCUUAUUCCUUUCUCCUUUCCUUAUUCCUUUCCCCUUUUCUUUCCCUUAUUCCUUUCUCUUUUCCUUAUUCCUUUUCUUUUUCCUUUCCAUAUUCCUCUACCCUUCCCUUUAUCCUUCUUUUUCCUUUCCCCCUCUUUUAUUUUCCUUAUUCCUUUUCCUUAUUCCUUUUCUUUCCCCUUUCCUUAUUCUGUUCCCCUUUCCCUUCUCUUUUCAACUUUCCUUUCCCCUUCCCUUUUUCCCUCCCUUUUUCCUUUCCCCUUUAAUUUUUCCUUCCUUUUUUCCUUUUUCCUUCCCUUUUUCUUUCCCCCUUUCCCUUCCCUUUUUCCUUUCCCCUUCCCAUUUUCCUUUCCCCUUCCCCUUUUCCUUUUUCCUUUUAUUUUUCCUUUCCCUUUCCCUUUUUCCUUCCCUUUUUCCUUUUCCCUUUCCUUUUCCCUUAUUCCAUUCCCUUUUCCCUUCCUCUUUCCUUAUUCUUUCCCCCUUCCCUUUUUCCUUUUUCCCUUCCCUCCCUGGGGAUAAUUUCCCACCCCAAAUCCCCUCCCGGGAUGGAUUCCAGCUCCUCUUUCCCUGCAAAUCCCCGAUUUUAUUCCCAUUUUCCCACCUCAUUUCAGCCGGGAGAAACUUUCCCAUUUCUCCGGAGGGAUCCUGGAGCAGACACAGGCGGUGCUGCCGCUCAGUGGCAAAACACAGGAGAAUUCCCCUUUUCCCAUGGAAUUUCCUCCCCUCCCUUGUUUUUUAUAAAAUAAAAUUAAUGUAUUUAUUCUUUAUAUCGUGA